GACCCGUAAUCCGGGUUGCGGACAGUGUCUGGUGGGUAGUUUGACUGGGGCGGUCUCCUCCCAAAGAGUAACGGAGGAGCACGAAGGUUGGCUAAUCCUGGUCGGACAUCAGGAGGUUAGUGCAAUGGCAUAAGCCAGCUUGACUGCGAGCGUGACGGCGCGAGCAGGUGCGAAAGCAGGUCAUAGUGAUCCGGUGGUUCUGAAUGGAAGGGCCAUCGCUCAACGGAUAAAAGGUACUCCGGGGAUAACAGGCUGAUACCGCCCAAGAGUUCAUAUCGACGGCGGUGUUUGGCACCUCGAUGUCGGCUCAUCACAUCCUGGGGCUGAAGUAGGUCCCAAGGGUAUGGCUGUUCGCCAUUUAAAGUGGUACGCGAGCUGGGUUUAGAACGUCGUGAGACAGUUCGGUCCCUAUCUGCCGUGGGCGCUGGAGAAUUGAGGGGGGCUGCUCCUAGUACGAGAGGACCGGAGUGGACGCAUCACUGGUGUUCGGGUUGUCAUGCCAAUGGCACUGCCCGGUAGCUAAAUGCGGAAGAGAUAAGUGCUGAAAGCAUCUAAGCACGAAACUUGCCCCGAGAUGAGUUCUCCCUGAGACUUUAAGUCUCCUGAAGGAACGUUGAAGACGACGACGUUGAUAGGUCGGGUGUGUAAGCGCAGCGAUGCGUUGAGCUAACCGAUACUAAUGAACCGUGAGGCUUAACCUU
RNAcentral lists this ribosomal RNA (701 nucleotides) under Enterobacter hormaechei. Its description in RNAcentral is "partial 23S ribosomal RNA". It matches the Rfam family "Bacterial large subunit ribosomal RNA", at positions 2230 to 2925 of the family's 2925-position model. The record is from RNAcentral. RNAcentral also lists the same sequence under 1 other name. Lineage: Bacteria; Pseudomonadati; Pseudomonadota; Gammaproteobacteria; Enterobacterales; Enterobacteriaceae.